GCCGGAGUCAAGCAAAACUCGGAGCUUCUCAUGCCUCGUGUGGCUUCCGCAAGACCGGCAUCGUCUGGAAGUCCUUUCUCGAGCAAAACUUCUGGACGAAAGCGAAAGAAAAGCUAUCACACUCAAGAACAGGAAAGUUCUGUUACCCUGUGACGAUGGCGAGCUCCUCUGAAGUACAGGAGAACAGUCCGGUGU
This is a long non-coding RNA of Selaginella moellendorffii, 195 nucleotides long. RefSeq lists it as uncharacterized. The transcript has 2 exons. The record is from RefSeq and is a predicted model, not a curated record. Lineage: Eukaryota; Viridiplantae; Streptophyta; Lycopodiopsida; Selaginellales; Selaginellaceae.